RNAcentral lists this ribosomal RNA (595 nucleotides) under uncultured bacterium. RNAcentral's name for it is "bacterial SSU rRNA". It matches the Rfam family "Bacterial small subunit ribosomal RNA", at positions 247 to 858 of the family's 1533-position model. The record is from RNAcentral.
AGUUGGUAAGGUAAUGGCUUACCAAGGCUAUGACGGGUAGGGGACCUGAGAGGGUGGCCCCCCACAAUGGAACUGAAACACGGUCCAUACACCUACGGGUGGCAGCAGUAGGGAAUAUUAGUAAUGGGCGAAAGCCUGAACUAGCAACGCCGCGUGUGCGAAGAAGGCCUUCGGGUUGUAAAGCACUUUUAGAGAGGAUGAGGAAGGACGGUACUCUCAGAAUAAGUCUCGGCUAACUACGUGCCAGCAGCCGCGGUAACACGUAGGAGGCGAACGUUAUCCGGAUUUACUGGGCGUAAAGCGCGUGUAGGUGGUUUGGUAAGUAGGGCGUGAAAGCUCCCGGCUCAACUGGGAGAGGCCGUUCUAAACUGCCAAGCUAGAGGAUGGUAGAGGGAGGUGGAAUUCCGGGUGUAGCGGUGGAAUGCGCAGAUAUCCGGAGGAACACCAGUGGCGAAGGCGGCCUCCUGGGCCACUCCUGACACUCAGACGCGAAAGCUAGGGUAGCAAACGGGAUUAGAGACCCCGGUAGUCCUAGCCCUAAACGAUGUAGACUUGGCGUCGGUGGUUUAAACGCCAUCGGUGUCGCAGCUAACGC